CCGGGAGACAGACAGAGAGAGACAGAGAGAUUUCAUUAAAAGUUUGUAACCUGACACCUAACAUGCAGCCUGGCAGACCCACACACACCCCAACGGGGACUACACAGAGGGCCAGAGGAAGAGCUGUCAUUCAAUGAAGAGAAAAAAAGAAUCAGCAUUUUCCUCCUUUUCUGGGUCCUAUUGUAACCCGAAACCCCCAUCAGUCUCCAAAUCGCCGUCUUCAAGCUGUGAGGGCCUCAGACAUUGUCUCUUCCACGCUGGAUCUCCAUGGCCUUCCAGGUUUCACGUUUUCUUUUCCAUGAUAGAUCAACCUUCUUGACGUUAAGCCCAAGUUUUGUCUUGAGGACAGAAUGGACCAUCGUCGUAAAUGUUCACGAUGGUGGAAAAACUGUUGCACUUGUUUCAUCAUAUCUAGCACCUUAAACCAAUCUCGCCACCUGAAGCUAAAGACAGGCACAAAGUAGGUGACCUCUGUGCAUGCUUUUGAAAAUACAUCAGAACUAACAGAUUUGGUGGCAUUUGCACUAUUGAAUUCAGGACAACCUAAAAUUGUUACUUUGGAGUCUGGACUAUAUGCCACUGAAGAGAUUCUUAUGGCUUUCAAAUCAUCUCGCCCACAGACUUCCUCUUCCAAUGCGUACCCAGGCAGGGAUGUUCCACUCAGGGCCUGUUCGAUCUGACAUAGAGCCAGUCUUAUCUUAGCCAUUCUCUCAUGCGAAACGCAGGAGAAAAUCUCCCGGUUUUUGGCUGAAAAAGGUGUUGAGGCAGCUGUGUGUGAAAAUCUUCACUGUUGACUCGUCCGGUUGGAAAAUGUAACCCAUAUGGCCUUCACUCAUAUCAAUCACACCAUUAAAACAAUCAGGUGCAUCACAAAGAAUGGCAUCGAUGGUUUUGUCAUUGUGGCCCAGACAUGAAGGACACAAUACACCUAGAAUUGGUCUAGGAGACAUGUUUUCUGUAGUUUUCUAUGGUUUAUCUGUGUUAGUCUUGUCACAGGACAAGUCUAACACUUACUUAUACACAGUCAUACCUACCCAGAAAUUACUUUUUCAUUCUACAAGGGGUCACAAGCUCACUACACAGCAGCUCUAUAAGUUCACUUCAAACACUUCAAACUCAGGCCUCCCCAUUCACUACAAGAAUUCCCAACUGUUUCAACUGUUCAAACACUUCAGACUCAGGCCUCCCCAUUCACUACAAGAAUUCCCAACUGUUUCAACUGUUCAAACACUUCAAACUCAGGCCAACCCAUUCACUACAAAAAUUCGCAAC
Molecule: long non-coding RNA, 1272 nt
Organism: Coregonus clupeaformis (lake whitefish)
Lineage: Eukaryota; Metazoa; Chordata; Actinopteri; Salmoniformes; Salmonidae
Exons: 3
Source: RefSeq, a predicted model, not a curated record